Gossypium arboreum is the source of this 461-nucleotide long non-coding RNA. RefSeq lists it as uncharacterized. The record is from RefSeq and is a predicted model, not a curated record. The transcript is spliced from 4 exons. Lineage: Eukaryota; Viridiplantae; Streptophyta; Magnoliopsida; Malvales; Malvaceae.
AAGGCCCUAAAGCUUGAUUGAAACAAAUAAGUUAAAAGAAACAGAAUGAAAGCAAACGAAACAGAGAAGAGCAGGGGAGAAAGAAAGGAAAGAAGAAAGAAAAGGGGAAAUAAGGUUUAUGAAGCUUGGAGUUAAUUGCCAACAAAGAACCUGAAGCAUCAGCAUCGAAAGGAAAGGAGAAAGUCAUCGAGGACUAAAACGGGAGAAUUACGGCUAGGUACGAAAGUAUAAGGACUCAGCAUACAAGCCGAUCCCCAAACUCAAAUUGGUGAAGUUUCUAUCUUUUUAGAAAAUGGCAUUGUACCUAGGAUGUCUUUUGGUUAUUUUAAAAGUAUCUAAGUUGUUAAGUGAUAUUUUGGUAUGUUUUGUAAAUGUUACCAAAACCUUAAGUAUGGUAUGUUUUGAUAUGUUAGUGAAGAGUAAUAAGAGGAAUUGUUGGUAAAUGUUGUAGAGAGAAGAAA